UACAGAGGGGGCAAGCGUUGUUCGGAAUUACUGGGCGUAAAGGGCUCGUAGGCGGCCAACUAAGUCAGACGUGAAAUCCCUCGGCUUAACCGGGGAACUGCGUCUGAUACUGGAUGGCUUGAAUCCGGGAGAGGGAUGCGGAAUUCCAGGUGUAGCGGUGAAAUGCGCAGAUAUCGGGAGGAACACCAGUGGCGAAGGCGGAACUCUGGGCCGGAACUGACGCUGAGGAGCGAAAGCGUGGGGAGCGAACAGG
Molecule: ribosomal RNA, 253 nt
Filed under: uncultured bacterium
Lineage: Bacteria
Description: partial 16S ribosomal RNA
Rfam family: Bacterial small subunit ribosomal RNA
Source: RNAcentral